CCUACGGGCGGCAGCAGUGAGGAAUAUUGGUCAAUGGGCGCGAGCCUGAACCAGCCAAGUAGCGUGAAGGAUGACUGCCCUACGGGUUGUAAACUUCUUUUAUAAAGGAAUAAAGUGAGGCACGUGUGCCUUUUUGUAUGUACUUUAUGAAUAAGGAUCGGCUAACUCCGUGCCAGCAGCCGCGGUAAUACGGAGGAUCCGAGCGUUCUCCGGAUUUAUUGGGUUUAAAGGGAGCGUAGCGGGGUUGUUAAGUCAGUUGUGAAUGUUUGCGGCUAAACCGUAAAAUUGCAAUGGGUACUGGAAGCCUUGGGAAAGGUGAGGUAGGCGGAAUUCGUGGUGUAGCGGUGAAAUGCUUAGAUAUCACGAAGAACUCCGAUUGCGAAGGCAGCUUACUAAACUGCCACUGACAUUGAUGCUCGAAAGUGUGGGUAUCAAACAGGAUUAGAUACCCGGGUAGUC
RNAcentral lists this ribosomal RNA (459 nucleotides) under uncultured bacterium. Its description in RNAcentral is "partial 16S ribosomal RNA". It matches the Rfam family "Bacterial small subunit ribosomal RNA", at positions 338 to 795 of the family's 1533-position model. The record is from RNAcentral.